This is a long non-coding RNA of Passer domesticus (house sparrow), 430 nucleotides long. RefSeq lists it as uncharacterized. The record is from RefSeq and is a predicted model, not a curated record. The transcript is spliced from 4 exons. Lineage: Eukaryota; Metazoa; Chordata; Aves; Passeriformes; Passeridae.
CAGAAGACCAGCCUAAUAACGCAGGCAGCGAGAAUUUGAGCCAUGACCUCAGCUCUCCACUUCUGCCCCUAUCUGCCCUGCCAUGGCUGCAGCAGUGUCACGAGGCCAUCCCAAAACCCACCGCUCCUCAACGAGAACCUCUGCCCCUGAGCCCCCUGGUCCUGUUCCCCGGCCAGGACUGAAGCUGAACCUGCUGGUGAAGGUGGUGCAGCUUCCCAAGCCACGUCCAGGACUGAGGCUCUGGGAGAUGCUGAGGGUGUAUCUGCAGGGAGGACUUCUCCAGCUCCUUUGCUGAUUCCUACACAGAAGCCUGGCAACCAUGGCAGGGGUCCUCCACCAGAAGAGAUCAAAGACAUGGCAGACAAGAAAUUCCAGAAUCCAUUAGAAAUUAUGUGGCAAAUGCUGAAGGAAGUGCUGCAGAGAGGACAAG